AGAGCUAGGAAGUUGUGGUGGUACUGAAGAAGAGGGAUGACGACAGCCUGAACAAAGACAGUGUCUGGGGGCAGAGGCAAAAUGUAUCUAUGGAGGAAAAGUUCUUGCAGAAGGCCAGCGGAUUUUAACCAAGAGCUGUCGGGAAUGCCGAGGUGGAGUUUUAGUAAAAAUUACAGAAAUGUGUCCUCCUUUGAACUGCUCAGAAAAGGAUCACAUUCUUCCUGAGAAUCAGUGCUGCCGUGUCUGUAGAGGUCAUAACUUUUGUGCAGAAGGACCUAAAUGUGGUGAAAACUCAGAGUGCAAAAACUGGAAUACAAAAGCUACUUGUGAGUGCAAGAGUGGUUACAUUUCUGUCCAGGGAGACUCUGCCUACUGUGAAGAUAUUGAUGAGUGUGCAGCUAAGAUGCAUUACUGUCAUGCCAAUACCGUGUGUGUCAACCUUCCUGGGUUAUAUCGCUGUGACUGUGUCCCAGGAUACAUUCGUGUGGAUGACUUCUCUUGUACAGAACACGAUGAAUGUGGCAGCGGCCAGCACAACUGUGACGAGAAUGCCAUCUGCACCA
RNAcentral lists this small RNA (563 nucleotides) under Pongo abelii (Sumatran orangutan). RNAcentral describes it as "processed transcript". The record is from RNAcentral. Lineage: Eukaryota; Metazoa; Chordata; Mammalia; Primates; Hominidae.